Molecule: long non-coding RNA, 3605 nt
Filed under: Mus musculus (house mouse)
Lineage: Eukaryota; Metazoa; Chordata; Mammalia; Rodentia; Muridae
Description: long non-coding RNA chr2:39723994-39727599
Source: RNAcentral
GGGCAUUCUUUUUCCUGCAUAUUGUUAAGUUCCUGAAUAAACUGCCUUGAGAAGGACAUCAGUUUCAUUGCUUCUUUUCUGCUGGUCGGAGAUGGUAGCGACAAGUGGUGGAACCUGUACGGGGACGUGAGGAAUCCAGAACUCUAGGCAGUCAGGGUAGCCGGCUGGAAAGCUCCCAGGUAAGUGGGACGAUUCAAGUACUCUAUUAGAGACUAUUAGGUUCCUGGAUUAGGGACUAUUGAGGUUCUCAGAGUGAGACAAUUAAAGAUACACACGCAUAUAGUGUAGCGAUCCAAAAAUUAAAAGAAAAGCAAUUGGUUGUAGCCCUGGAAAAGGUUCAGAAAGGAAAAGUGGUGAAUUAUUUAGGAACAAAAAUUUUUGAUAGUCAAGUAUCUCCCCAGAAAAUCCAGCUUCCGAUGGAUAAUUUGAGGACAUUGAAUGAUUUUCAAAAGAUAUUGGGGGAUAUACAGUGGGUACACCCCUAUUUGGGCCUAACCAAUAAACAAUUACAAUCAUUAUAUGAUAUUUUACUGGGAGAUAAAGAAUUAAAUUCUCCCCGGCAGCUUACUGAUUCUGCCCGCAUAGCGUUAAGUUUGGUCGAAAAGGGUAUUCAAACAGCAGCAUCAAAGAGAAGAUAUCUGUUCAGUCCUAUUAUUUUGUGCACCCUCCCUCGGAGACCCAGCCUACUGGAGUCCUCUGGCAGGGUGCCCCUUUGCUAUGGAUACAUCCCAAGAUUUCACCUGCAAAAAUCUUGUCUUAUUACCCUGCCUCAGUAGCACAAUUGGCCUUGAUUGGCCUACAACAAUGUAUCCAAUAUUUUGGCAAUCCCCCUCAGGAAUUGAUUGUUCUAUAUAAUAUGAAACAAAUAGAAGUAUUAUCAGAUACUGUUGAUGAUUGGGCAAUUUUGAGAUGUAGCUUUAUGGGAAAGAUGGAUAAUCAUUUCCCUAAGGAUCCCAUUUUGCAGCUGAUUAAAGCUCAUCCAGUUGUUUUCCAUGAAUUACUUCUCGAGUGCCAUUGACUGAUGCCCCUUUAAUUUUUACAGAUGGGUCUAAGACAGGCUGAGGAGCAUAUUUGGUUCAUGGCUCCAUGCCAGUAACUUUACAGUUUCCCCCUGCUUCUCCCCAAGUUAUUGACUUGCAGAUUGUUAUAUAAAAGUUUUUGAAUUGUAUUCUGAAUCUUUUAAUUUAAUUUCAGAUAGUCAGUAUGUGGUUAAUUUGUUAGCAGUGCUGAAAGUGGUAGGGAAGGUGAAUUUUAGAUCCACUAUAGGGGAUUUGUUAAAUAAAUCACAAUCCUUAAUUUUAAAUAGAAGAUUUCCAUUUUUUGUCCAACACAUUCGAGUUCAAAUCAUUGCCUGGCCCUUUAGCAGAGGGCAAUGAUUUGGUUGAUAAAGCUGCUAGAGCUGCUUCUGCCUUUUUGAUUCAAACACCUGUAGAACUGGCUCCUGAAUUUCAUUCCCAUUUCAUGUGAAUUCCAAAACACUUUCUUCUCGAUUUCAUAUUACUAGAGCAGAGGCAAGGGAUAUUGUUAUGGCUUGCAAAGCCUGUGCCCCCCUAUUGCCUCAGGUGAGUGUGGGAGUAAACCCUUGUGGCCUGCUUUCCCUCCACGUUUGGCAAAUGGAUGUGACUCAUUUUUCAGAAUUUGGUAAACUGCAAUUUGUUCAUGUUUCUGUAGAUACAGCCUCUGGGGGGUUGUUUGCCUCCCUGCAUACUGGUGAAAAGGCACACCAUGUCAUUACCCAUUGCUUUGAGGCAUGGGGUGCAUGGGGUCAGCCCAGAGAGCUUAAGACUGAUAAUGGACCUGCUUAUACUUCAGCUUCUUUUGUUUCCUUUUGUAAAAUGAUGGGUGUCCGCUUGGUGCACGGUAUACCCUACAAUCCUCAGGGCCAGGGCAUCAGUGAAAGAGCCCAUAGCACUCUGAAACAGUGUCUAAUAAAAAAGAAAGGGGGAGUAGCCUCUGGCGCUACUCCUAGGGAGAGAUUAGCCAUUGCUUUUUACCUUAACUUUUUUGAAUAAAAAUAAAAAUAAUUUGACUGCUACGGAAUGGUUUGCCAAUCCUGAGGCAUCCUACAAAGGCACAGUCCUGUGAAAGGAUGUUCUGAGUGGACCAUGGCAUGGGCCCGAUCCUGUGUUGGUCUGGGCGAGAGGGUCUGUUUGUGUGUUUCCACAGGAUCAUCACCAGAUGCUGUGGGUUCCGGAGCGAUUGACAAGGGUAGUUCAAGAUGGAUGGAGGUGCCCUGAUGAAGCUGCUCCUGGGGGUGAUGAUGCUGCCUGCAGUGAUGACUGAAGAUCUAUGAUGGGCCCCCUUUUGUAGGGGUAUUCGAGAUUCGCUACCCCCAUGGACUGGCUGCCAGUUCAGGAAAGCUGUGUGGGCCGUGAAAAAGUAUUUUACUUUUCCCCCUUAUAUUAGUACCAGUCAUAAUCAAACGUUUUCAGGGUUUAAUUGGAUAUAUCAAAAUCCAGCCCAGAGAGGGGCAAGCAAUCCCUUUAAGGUUUGGCUGUUGUGUGGGAUAAAUUGGGAGUUGUAUAGAUCUUUCUCCUUUGAGUAUGUUGAUGGGGGGGGGCACGGGGAAAUGCUAGCUUUUAUUGGAAUGGAUCUGUAUUAUUUGAGUAUUCUGUUAUUCAGUUAGCUUAUGGGAAGAAUAUAUUCUUUAAAGCCACGCCUGUAUGUGUUUGGCCUCAUUUUGUUAUUUUAGUUUAUAAUGGUAGUUAUUUUGAUGAUGUUGUAGAAUGUAAAGAGGAUAGUUGUUUUUAUAGUAUGUGUUGGUUGGAAUGCUUCUAUGUUUUCUUUAGCUAUUGUUACCAGAAUGUCUAGAUUGUUACCAUGGCCCAUUCAGGCCCCUUCGAUUAUGACCUUGUUUGGACCCAAAAGAGAUUUUGGGAUAGUCCAUAUCAAUUCCACUCAGGUGGAUGUAUCCAUGGCUGAAGGACUUGCAAAUUGGAUUGCCUCUGCUAUGUCACACCUAAAGGAAUGGACCAGUAUUGGUGGAUUGGCACUGUGCUGUGUGCUCAUCAGUGUCCUGGCCUUUUGGUGCAUCUGCCGCAUGUAACAUCACCAUCACAGGACUCAAGCUCUGUUGAUACAAGCCUUUGCAGCUGUGGAGAUGUGACAAUCUCCUCAGGUGUGGCUUGGCAUGCUAGAGAAGUAGUCAAUGACAGGUAAGACUCCCUGGAUGUGUUACCAACCUAAGACAGGGAUCAGACCACUGCUGCCUAUCUCCUGAUGAUGGGUAAGGAGCAUUGUUGCAGGGGACAACCUAAGACAGGCAUUCUCUCUGCCAAUUUAAAGAAUAAGGGGGAGAUGUGAGAAGCAGGUGUGGCUGCGGCCCCCCCAAGAUGGCGCCCGGGACUGCUGCCAAGUCUUAUGACUGGCACCUGACUUCCUCAUAUCCCUCAAGAUAGCCACAUACCUUGAGCUGCAUUGUGCAGGUGCACCACGACGUAAGAUCGGAUGAUGUGACGAAUGUAGUCCUGAGCCAAUGAACUGUGUCUACGUGGACUGGGGUGAUGGGGAGUGGACGAGAGGGGAUAAAGGGGGAUGGCCAAGAGAGGUCGGGGCAUUCUUCUUUUUCCUGCAUAUUGAUAAGUUCCUGAAUAAACUGCCUUGAG